Molecule: long non-coding RNA, 934 nt
Organism: Oreochromis aureus
Lineage: Eukaryota; Metazoa; Chordata; Actinopteri; Cichliformes; Cichlidae
Exons: 3
Source: RefSeq, a predicted model, not a curated record
CGAAAGAGAAACCACGUUCAGGGGAUUUGUGGACACAAAAUACCCUGGGGAGCAAUAGAAUGAUAGCCGUAGAGGAAAUGAGUGGAAAAAAGAGAUGCUUCCUAAGACACUGAGGUCUGUUGGGGUCAGAGGAUGGGACGGACUGAGUAAGAAAGUGGCAGACGAGACGAGUCGGGGGAAUGAUGGAGAAACGGCGAGGAAGCAGUAAAGAGAGAGGAAAACUGGAAGGAAGAGUGGAAGGAAAGAUCAAAUCAGGCAAUGCAGCAAAUGGCUUUGACAUCUGCAUUCCCACUUAGGGGACAGCCGAGCAGCAGAGAGGAGAUGAGAGUAGAGGCGAAACAGAGCAAAGGAGAGAUUGGCAACGUAAAACAUAAAACAACAAAGCGAACAGGCAGGAGAUCAGUUACAAAAUGACCCCCAAUGAGAAUCCCACCUCUCCCCGUCUGGUUGCAGGUGUGUGUGGAGUCAAGUUAAUGUGCUGGCAAAAUCAUUACAACAUUAUACAGUUAAAGUCCUCUGCAGUGGAAACAUCUUGACUGAAUCAUGACCAAAAAGGAAAGAAAAAAAAACCCAAAGCAGCAAUCAAAUGACAACUGAGAUCCUGUGGAUUGAAAGUGACAGCAGUGGUUUGGCUAAAUCCCACUCUGCCUAAGCCAGUCAAGCAAAGGGUUUGAAAAACCAACAAGAACCAAGGCUGAAGGAGGACUCUGACUCUUAAAAUGGGAUUAGGCUCGAGAUCGCUUUAACCCUCGAUAUAAAAGCAUUAAAAAAAGCUGUUAAAAGCAUGAGAAUGUGGUCAGAGCAGGAAGAUUUUGUGUAGAGACAUGAUGUUCAGUUAUGUUAAUUACAGCAGCACUGAAAACCAAAAGAGAUUGGUUUUUUUUUUUAUUAACUAUUUUAUUAACUAUCGAAGAUAAAAAAUGGCGGUACACUG